This 682-nucleotide ribosomal RNA is filed under the name Lecontella gnara. Its description in RNAcentral is "eukaryotic LSU rRNA". It matches the Rfam family "Eukaryotic large subunit ribosomal RNA", at positions 651 to 1284 of the family's 3401-position model. Lineage: Eukaryota; Metazoa; Arthropoda; Insecta; Coleoptera; Cleridae. The record is from RNAcentral.
GUCUUGAAACACGGACCAAGGAGUCUAGCAUGUGCGCGAGUCAUUGGGAACAACUAAACCUAAAGGCGUAAUGAAAGUGAAGGUCCGCCCCGCGCGGACCGAGGGAAGAUGGGCGGAUGGGCACCAAAAGCUGGCCGCCCCGCACUCCCGGGGCGUCUCGUUCUCAUUGCGAGAAGAGGCGCACCAAGAGCGUACACGCUGGGACCCGAAAGAUGGUGAACUAUGCCUGGUCAGGACGAAGUCAGGGGAAACCCUGAUGGAGGUCCGUAGCGAUUCUGACGUGCAAAUCGAUCGUCGGAACUGGGUAUAGGGGCGAAAGACUAAUCGAACCAUCUAGUAGCUGGUUCCCUCCGAAGUUUCCCUCAGGAUAGCUGGCGCUCGUCGCAUACGAGUCUCAUCCGGUAAAGCGAAUGAUUAGAGGCAUUGGGGUCGAAACGGCCUCAACCUAUUCUCAAACUUUAAAUGGGUGAGAUCUCCGGCUUGCUCGAACUACUGAAGCCGCGAGACACGGAUCAGAGUGCCAAGUGGGCCAUUUUUGGUAAGCAGAACUGGCGCUGUGGGAUGAACCAAACGCCGAGUUAAAGCGCCUAAAUCGACGCUUAUGGGAUACCAUGAAAGGCGUUGGUAACUUAAGACAGCAGGACGGUGGCCAUGGAAGUCGGAAUCCGCUAAGGAGUGUGUA